RNAcentral lists this non-coding RNA (46 nucleotides) under Schistosoma mansoni. Lineage: Eukaryota; Metazoa; Platyhelminthes; Trematoda; Strigeidida; Schistosomatidae. The record is from RNAcentral.
GAACUGUUGAAGAGUCCCAUAAUAGGACGAAACGGCCUUCCGGUGC